ACCACCCGUAGAAAGACAUAUCAUUAGUAAUAAUAAUAACAAGUCCCAUUAUCAAGAAAGAAAUAAAAAAAACAUGGAACAUAAGGGAUUCUCCAUGGCGAUUUCGAUCAUUUUCCUACUCCUAAUCUCAGGGGGAGGGGUAGAAGGGGAGCCUCAGCCGCCAAUGAAAUGCCUUGGGCCGUGCGCAAUCAUACCGAAUUGCGACCACAUGUGCAAGGGAGAAGGGUAUUACAUCGGCCAGUGUAUGGGAUGGAAGAUCGCCGACCAGUGCUGUUGCAUCGUGCUCCAUCCCCCUACCCUCCAUCCUUCUCCAUCGAAUUAAUUAAUCGAAAUUUGUGUUUAAAAAAAAAUUCAGUUCAUGAAUAAGACUGAUACUAUGAGAUGAAGUGAAGUUAUGAUUUUCUGUUUCGAUA
This is a long non-coding RNA of Tarenaya hassleriana, 413 nucleotides long. RefSeq lists it as uncharacterized. Lineage: Eukaryota; Viridiplantae; Streptophyta; Magnoliopsida; Brassicales; Cleomaceae. The record is from RefSeq and is a predicted model, not a curated record. The transcript is spliced from 2 exons.